This 253-nucleotide ribosomal RNA is filed under the name uncultured bacterium. RNAcentral's name for it is "partial 16S ribosomal RNA". It matches the Rfam family "Bacterial small subunit ribosomal RNA", at positions 524 to 776 of the family's 1533-position model. The record is from RNAcentral.
UACGUAGGGUGCAAGCGUUAAUCGGAAUUACUGGGCGUAAAGCGUGCGCAGGCGGUGAUGUAAGACAGAUGUGAAAUCCCCGGGCUCAACCUGGGAACUGCAUUUGUGACUGCAUCGCUGGAGUGCGGCAGAGGGGGAUGGAAUUCCGCGUGUAGCAGUGAAAUGCGUAGAUAUGCGGAGGAACACCGAUGGCGAAGGCAAUCCCCUGGGCCUGCACUGACGCUCAUGCACGAAAGCGUGGGGAGCGAACAGG